UACGUAGGGUGCAAGCGUUAAUCGGAAUUACUGGGCGUAAAGCGUGCGCAGGCGGUGAUGUAAGACAGAUGUGAAAUCCCCGGGCUCAACCUGGGAACUGCAUUUGUGACUGCAUCGCUGGAGUGCGGCAGAGGGGGAUGGAAUUCCGCGUGUAGCAGUGAAAUGCGUAGAUAUGCGGAGGAACACCAAUGGCGAAGGCAGCUCGCUGGGACGGUACUGACGCUGAGGCGCGAAAGCGUGGGGAGCAAACAGG
RNAcentral lists this ribosomal RNA (253 nucleotides) under uncultured bacterium. Its description in RNAcentral is "partial 16S ribosomal RNA". It matches the Rfam family "Bacterial small subunit ribosomal RNA", at positions 524 to 776 of the family's 1533-position model. The record is from RNAcentral.